AUUGAACGCUGGCGGCAUGCCUUACACAUGCAAGUCGAACGGCAGCACGGGGGCAACCCUGGUGGCGAGUGGCGAACGGGUGAGUAAUAUAUCGGAACGUUCCCUGGAGUGGGGGAUAACGUAGCGAAAGUUACGCUAAUACCGCAUACGAUCUAAGGAUGAAAGUGGGGGAUCUUCGGACCUCAUGCUCAUGGAGUGGCCGAUAUCUGAUUAGCUAGUUGGUGAGGUAAAGGCUCACCAAGGCGACGAUCAGUAGCUGGUUUGAGAGAACGACCAGCCACACUGGAACUGAGACACGGUCCAGACUCCUACGGGAGGCAGCAGUGGGGAAUUUUGGACAAUGGGGGGCAACCCUGAUCCAGCAAUGCCGCGUGAGUGAAGAAGGCCUUCGGGUUGUAAAGGCUCUGUCGUAUGGG
Molecule: ribosomal RNA, 416 nt
Filed under: uncultured bacterium
Lineage: Bacteria
Description: bacterial SSU rRNA
Rfam family: Bacterial small subunit ribosomal RNA
Source: RNAcentral